UACAGAGGUCUCAAGCGUUGUUCGGAUUCAUUGGGCGUAAAGGGUGCGUAGGUGGUGCUGUAAGUCAGGUGUGAAAUCUCGGGGCUCAACCCCGAAACUGCACUUGAUACUGCCUCGCUUGAGUACUGGAGAGGAGACUGGAAUUUACGGUGUAGCAGUGAAAUGCGUAGAUAUCGUAAGGAAGACCAGUGGCGAAGGCGAGUCUCUGGACAGCAACUGACGCUGAGGCACGAAGGCCAGGGGAGCAAACGGG
Molecule: ribosomal RNA, 253 nt
Filed under: uncultured bacterium
Lineage: Bacteria
Description: partial 16S ribosomal RNA
Rfam family: Bacterial small subunit ribosomal RNA
Source: RNAcentral